GCUGGGUGUGGUGGUACACACCUGGAGUACUUGGGAGGCUGAGGUGGGAGGGUGGCUUGAACUUGGGAGUUUAACAUUAGCCUGGGCAACAUAGCAAGACCCCAGCUCAA
This 110-nucleotide small RNA is filed under the name Marmota monax (woodchuck). Lineage: Eukaryota; Metazoa; Chordata; Mammalia; Rodentia; Sciuridae. The record is from RNAcentral.